RNAcentral lists this transfer RNA (82 nucleotides) under Pleurocordyceps sinensis. RNAcentral's name for it is "tRNA-Leu". The record is from RNAcentral. Lineage: Eukaryota; Fungi; Ascomycota; Sordariomycetes; Hypocreales; Polycephalomycetaceae.
GUCCGAGUGCUGGAAUGGUAGACAGUGGUUACUUAAGAUAACCUGGGAAUAGCCCGUAAGUGUUCAAGUCACUUCUCGGAUA